CUUGUAUUCAAGUCUGCAGCUGCUGGCUCUGACUCUGAACUGACUGUCUGCUGGCAUCAUCAGUGGUGGUCUGAGCAAAUUACAAUGCUUCCCCAUAGGAUUGGCUGAGACUGUCAACUAAGCAGAUCAGGGGCAGAGCCAGCACAAGUUAAACAUAUCCCUGGCCCAUCAGCAUCUUCUCAUUAAGAUAAAUUGAAUCAAUGCAUCUAAAUGAGGAAAGUUCAGUGUCUGCAUGCAGAGGGUGGAUACACCGAAUGGCAGUGCUGCACACUAGGCAGUACUGCCCAGGAAGCACCUCUAGCAGCCAUCUAAGGAGUGGCCAGUGGAGUUAUU
Non-coding RNA from Pelobates cultripes (western spadefoot toad), 333 nucleotides. NCBI's taxonomy places the organism in Eukaryota, Metazoa, Chordata, Amphibia, Anura, Pelobatidae. The record is from the annotation of a GenBank genome assembly.